AAUGAACGCUGGCGGCAUGCCUAACACAUGCAAGUCGAACGAAAACAUGGGGAGCUUGCGCCCCUGAGGUUGGCGGGGGACGGAUGAGUAACACGUGGAUCACAUACCUCUAAGACUGGGGUGAUAACGGGAAACCGGAUCUACUAACGGAGAAUAUAUCGAACCGGAUGGUGCAAUAGUUAAAGGCGGUUUUGGUGUCAGUAAUAGCCGAAGCCGGGCCGGAUUAGCUAGUUGGUAAGGUAACGGCUUACCAAGGCAACGAUGCGGAGCCGACCUGAGAGGGUGAUCGGCCACACUGGAACUGAGACACGGUCCAGACUCCUACGGGAGGCAGCAGUAGGGAAUCUUCCGCAAUGGGCGAAAGCCUGACGGAGCAACACCGCGUGAGUGAUGAAGGUCUUCGGAUCGUAAAGCUCUGUUGUUAGGAAAGAACAAAUGCGUAUUUAACCAUGCACGUCUUGACGGUACCUAAACAGAAAGCCCCGGCUAACUACGUG
This 497-nucleotide ribosomal RNA is filed under the name uncultured bacterium. RNAcentral's name for it is "partial 16S ribosomal RNA". It matches the Rfam family "Bacterial small subunit ribosomal RNA", at positions 29 to 507 of the family's 1533-position model. The record is from RNAcentral.